GUCUAUGGCCAUGCCACCCUGAACACGCUCGAUCUCGUUUGAUCUCGGAAGCUAAACAGGGUUGGGCCUGGUUAGUACUUGGAUGGGAGACCACCUAGGAAGACCAGGUGCUGUAGGCG
Molecule: ribosomal RNA, 119 nt
Filed under: Pteropus alecto (black flying fox)
Lineage: Eukaryota; Metazoa; Chordata; Mammalia; Chiroptera; Pteropodidae
Also listed under: 1 other name
Source: RNAcentral